This is a long non-coding RNA of Passer domesticus (house sparrow), 4676 nucleotides long. RefSeq lists it as uncharacterized. The record is from RefSeq and is a predicted model, not a curated record. Lineage: Eukaryota; Metazoa; Chordata; Aves; Passeriformes; Passeridae. The transcript has 3 exons.
GGUCCUUUGAAAAACAAAUUUGUAAUCCUUCACACUGCACAUGUUUGAAAGGAUCGGCACUUUUGAAGGCCUAGAGAAGAAUUGGAAUAAUGUUCUUAGCUAAGCCCUCGGAAAGAACAGAGACGUGCUUUGGAAAACAUACCCAAUUACAUAAGUUUAUCAAAAGCUUUGAAAGGCUCCUCUGUCUAUGACCAAAAGGGGAGAAAAAUAGUGGAGAAGAGAAAGAGGGAGAAGGCUCCUAAGUGCAUUUACCCAUGGUAGCGGGAGAGCAGCAGCUAAGCUGACAUACUUCAAACCGAUGUGGCCCACCAUCCCAGACCUCCCCGUUGUCAACAGCAUGCAAGAUUCCAGCAGCAAGCCCUGGAAAGUGCCUUUGCAAAAACCAGAUGGACUUUCUCAGUUUUAGAUUAAAAAAACACAUGGAACUGUAUCAAAAGCCUGCAGGACAGAAGGUCUCAUCUGCUACCAGCUCUGUUUGAAGGUUGUCUGUAAGUUGGACUGUCUUGUCUGACACCAGGCUUUUGAAAGAGCAAAGGAAGAAGAUUUCAGCAGCAACUCAGUUAUGGCAACAAAAAACAUUCCCCAGACAAAACACAAAAUGCCACAUGGAAAUGCAGUGGUCCUGAGUAGACACCAAAACGCCUGGUCCUCUGUGUCCCAAGUGUUCUCUCUUGGAGCAGCCAAGAUUUACUGAUACAUUCAGGAUCUGCUGGAUGAGCAUCAUGCAUCAAUGAGCUUCAUCAAAAGUUUAGCUUCCACACAAAAGUUUUUACUUCAACUACAAAAAAAAAAAAAAAAGCUUCCAUUCCCAAACCCUAUCAUGGUAGAAAUUGAAUUUCCUGAUGCAGGGAAUCUGCAAGAAAGUGGUUGAAUUUAUCAUAUCCUAGAGAGGAAAAACUCAAACAAAUAACAGCCUGAAUAGCUCUCAAUAUAAAUAACAACAAAAAUCUGGAUGAGGUAAGCAUAAAAAAACAAAAUGGAAAGAGUGUGGAGGAGAGUAAGGAGAGUAAGGAGAUGACAUUCCCUUAGCAAAACCUCCACUAGAGAAAAAGGAAAAUAUUUCAACAAAUAUCUUCUAUUGUAUGUAUAUCAUGAGCACAGAGACCCCCUAAGUUGGAGGUUUUCCCUUCUUUUUCACAACAUCCUUUAAGCAACCCUUCAGGCUUCUGUGAAAAAAAAUCUCCUCAAUCCCUUACUGAGUUAAUUUGAAAUUCUAAAACUAAUGAAGCUUUUGUCUCCCUCUUAACCUAAGAGCUAUUGUUACCUCUAAAAAUAAAAAAGAUAAUCUGUUAAAGAGCUAAAAAUACUGAGCUCUGAGAGCCUUUUCAGACAUGCACAGAAAAUGAUUGACACCCUUGCACCUUUAGUCUUCACAAAGAAAAUGGUGGGGCAGGAGCUCCUAUGCCCACCUCACAGCAACUCUUUCAUCAGCUGUCUGCCAGUUGUCCUCCCACAGCUCAAAUAAAUCCAGCACAGCCUGGGCAGAAGGUUAGUGCUCAGAAAGUGGUAUUCAUGAAGAAUCUAAAACAAUCACCCAAAGGUGCUUGGGCAACACUGUUUUAGGAAAGAGCUAUGUAACUUUUUUUUAGUAAGAAAAGCAGGAAGCGCUUUCAGAUAGGAAUGCCAAGAACUGCAGCUAUGUGCCACCUGCCCAAAUCCCCAUGGCUGCAGGACUAACAAAAGCUCUCCUGGGACACAGCAGGACAAGGGGUGCAGUCUGGGUGAGUCACUGCAUGCUUUGAAUUGAAUGGGAGAGUUAAAACAAUUAGACCUAGUUACCAGUAACACAAAAAGCUCUCCUGUUUAUCAUAAAGAAGUCUUGUCACAGUGAAGUCUAGUCACAGCGCAGUGAGCAAAACUGUUCAUAUUCCAAAGCUAACUGGUCAGAACAGACAAACUUUUGCCUCACUUGCCUAACUUCAAAGUUGUCUUGCGUGUCCACAGCGAGUUGUUGGCAGAGGCAGGACUACAGGUCUGAGCCAAGAGAUGAGGAGCUGACCCAUGACAGACACGGCCAGCUCCAGCUGGCUCCACCAGACCCAUGCAGGACGCAGACAAGUUCAUCAGAUGGUGCCUCUGUGACAAGGUAACACAGAGACAGAGAGAGGAGAACUAAAGGAAUGAGAAACAGCAGCGGGAACAUCAAGGUCAGAGUAGGAGCAGGUACACCUGAAGGAGCUGCAGCCCAUGGAGAGCCCAGGGUGCAAUAGUUAUUUCCUUAGGGACUGCAGACUGGAAGGAGAAUCCGCAUGAAAGCACAGGAAAAGUGUGAGAGGAUAAGAGCAGGAGAGAGAAAUCACCAAACCUCUAACAACCAUAAGUGCCCCCCCAGCACCACUUGGGGACCAUCUACAGGAGUCUGGAGAGGAGAAGGGAGGGGAGAGAAGAGAAGGGGAUGGGAGGAUACAUCUUUGUAUUUCUUUGUGUCUUACUGACAGAUUCUAUUCUAAUUGGGAAUAAAUUAAAUUAACUUUCUCCAAGUCUGUAUUGCUACAACAGUAACUGGUGAGCAAUUUCCCUGUCUUUGUGUUGACCAAUGAGCUUUCUUAUCCUAUGCCACAUGCCCCAUGGAGAGGGGUUAUGAGUAAGCAGCUGGAUGGAAAUUUGGGUGUUUGCCAAAGCUAACCCAUCACAAAAGUGAACCCAUCACAAUGUGCCAAAAUCUCUGCAGCACAUGGACUUUCUCAGCCUGGAGUCUCGGCAAGAGGAUGUACUUGGUUUCAAUCAAAGGAAAUACAGGGAAAGGUAAAGCUAUUUCACAUAGUUCAUCCACAAAAAUAAUAAUAAAUACAUAAAUAAAAAGAUUAUUCCCAAGGGGAAAUACCAGUUUCAGCUUUUGCUGAUCAUUUGGAGGAAGGGGAGACAUCUGAAUGAUCCUGGAAUCCCCAGUCCUACUGUCCUUUCUCUUAGAAAUAAAAAUGAGAGUGGAGGACAAUUGAAGAUUCUCCAGCAAUAACACUAUAUAGAAGUUCUUUUUAAUUCUAAAAAUACCCUGUUUAGUUCAAGUUGUUCUUUCAAACAAAAGAUGCAAACCUGCUUCCAAGUCCUGAUUUAAUUUUAACUGAGCAUCCAAGGAAAUAGAAAGUUUUCCUGGCUCUAACUACCAUGGGACAUUUUGGGCAUUUUGGUCACUUGUUUCAGCAGAUGUGUAAUCCUAAACCCUCUUUCUAUGGCCAGCUGCACUUAGCCAUUUUUAGUCUACAAUCUUUUAAAUGUGAAUCAGUCUUUUUCCUGGGUUCUGAAUUCUUAUUAUGACGUUUUCCAUAACUUGCAGUACACAGAGGAAUGUCCUACAAUUUCUUCAACCUCUUUGACAAUAAAAAGGCUGCAAUGGGGAGGACAGCAAAAGAAGAAAGAUUUCUUCCCCUGAACACUCAUUUUGGGGAGUGAGGAGAGGCUGAAAGGACAUUUCUACUGUCCAGCAGAUUGCUUGUGCUGUGGAACUAUUUCAAACAUAUAGAAUUCCCCAAGCCUGCACCAGGUGCCAUGAAUUAAUGUCUAACUCAUUUGUACUCUAGAAUGUUUCCAUCCAUUUAGGCUAUCAAGGGAUUUGCUGUGCUUCCCGUGUGUCAUUAUAAAGUCCUUUAAAAUAUUUCAAUUCUGCUUUAAACUUAAACUCCUCAAAGAACUUUAACUGUGCAGUAUAAAUUUAUGAAGACCAUAUGGAUGAUGUCAAGCUCAUGAUAAAAGUCAGAGAUAAUCUAGAAAAAAAAAUUACACUACAAAUUAAUCUUCAAUGUUCAUGUCUGUUUCCACUAGAAGAAAUAUCUCUAGCAGUGCCUCCAGGACAUAUCUUCUAACAGAAGUCAGCCAACCUUCCUCGUGUGUCUGUGAAUAUUCUGAAGUCAAUGGUCACUUACACAAAAUCCUGCAUUAAAGCCUUUUCAACAUGAUCCUGUCAAGUUCUACAAGAUGCACAGGGUUUGGUCAAAGACCAAACUGUCUUUGAAAAGCUGUGUUAUUUCUGCAGGUCAUGUUCUAACUGAAGGAGCUCUGCCUUUUUGACCAACGCUGACUUAAUGGCAAAUCCUGUCUGAGGCUGGGCACCAGAGCUGUGCCUUUUUGCAACAGAAAUUAAGAUCAAGUUUUAUUGUUCUCAGUUGACAGAAACUGUGUAGCACUCAUGCAGGAGUUGUAACACACCAGCUGUGUCCUCCUGUUUAAAACAUACUUUGGGUAGCUGUACUCCAGCUAGUCAUGCUCUUUACCAUCUCAAACCAACAAUAUAAUCUCUACACUUGGGAGCACUGUUGUGGAUUGACAAAAGAAUUGUUCUGGCUGCCUAACAUACACGAAAGAGAACAUUUACAAAUGCUUUAAAAGUGCAAUAUAUUGGUCAGUGUUUAAUUAUUUCCAAAUCUAGUAUCAGCAAUAUUUCUAGUUCUAUUGUGCUAGCAAAAUUUUAAUAAAGAUUAAAUCACUCACUCAAGUUUCACUUUACUAACAUUGUAACCUGGGAAAAACCUAAUGUUGGCAUGAUUCUUGUAUCCUCAAUCUGAUGAUUAUUUAGGGAAAAAAACUUCAGUUCCAUAGAAUGGAAAUGCAUUUCCCCAAACUUGUUACUUCUCUCCCAAAUCAAAUAUUUGUUUUCAUUCUCAUGCAUGAAUCAUGCAAAUCCCUUGUCUUCCUGAUUCAUUCCCUGUGGACUUCUCUCCAUUAAAGGAAGGUUAAAUGAG